RNAcentral lists this unclassified non-coding RNA (219 nucleotides) under Hevea brasiliensis (rubber tree). The record is from RNAcentral. Lineage: Eukaryota; Viridiplantae; Streptophyta; Magnoliopsida; Malpighiales; Euphorbiaceae.
CGUGGCGCUGUCGACCACCGUUGCGAUUUCCUUUUUUGUCGGGGCAGGCUUGACCUGAAAGACGUAAGGCUGAAACAGCGUCGCCUGGCACAUCAUCAUGAACUGUGCACCAGCGAGAUAGCAGUCGUCGAUCGCAAGCUCCCCCGCUUUGACCCGCGCUGCAAGAUAAUCGCCGAGCAGGCGCAUGGUGUGGGCGAUAACAUGAUCAUAGAAACGCCU